AACAGGAUUAGAUACCCUGGUAGUCCACGCUGUAAACGAUGUCGACUUGGAGGUUGUGCCCUUGAGGCGUGGCUUCCGGAGCUAACGCGUUAAGUCGACCGCCUGGGGAGUACGGCCGCAAGGUUAAAACUCAAAUGAAUUGACGGGGGCCCGCACAAGCGGUAGAGCAUGUGGUUUAAUUCGAUGCAACGCGAAGAACCUUACCUACUCUUGACAUCCAGAGAAUUUGCUAGAGAUAGCUUAGUGCCUUCGGGAACUCUGAGACAGGUGCUGCAUGGCUGUCGUCAGCUCGUGUUGUGAAAUGUUGGGUUAUGUCCCGCAACGAGCGCAACCCUUAUCCUUUGUUGCCAGCACGUAAUGGUGGGAACUCAAAGGAGACUGCCGGUGAUAAACCGGAGGAAGGUGGGGAUGACGUCAAGUCAUCAUGGCCCUUACGAGUAGGGCUACACACGUGCUACAAUGGCAUAUACAAAGAGAAGCGAACUCGCGAGAGCAAGCGGACCUCAUAAAGUAUGUCGUAGUCCGGAUUGGAGUCUGCAACUCGACUCCAUGAAGUCGGAAUCGCUAGUAAUCGUAGACCAGAAUGCUACGGUGAAUACGUUCCCGGGCCUUGUACACACCGCCCGUCACACCAUGGGAGUGGGUUGCAAAAGAAGUAGGUAGCUUAACCUUCGGGAGGGCGCUUACCACUUUGUGAUUCAUGACUGGGGUGAAGUCGUAACAAGGUAACC
Molecule: ribosomal RNA, 731 nt
Filed under: uncultured bacterium
Lineage: Bacteria
Description: bacterial SSU rRNA
Rfam family: Bacterial small subunit ribosomal RNA
Source: RNAcentral